Molecule: ribosomal RNA, 253 nt
Filed under: uncultured bacterium
Lineage: Bacteria
Description: partial 16S ribosomal RNA
Rfam family: Bacterial small subunit ribosomal RNA
Source: RNAcentral
UACGUAGGGGGCAAGCGUUGUCCGGAAUCAUUGGGCGUAAAGCGCGUGUAGGCGGCUUGGUAAGUCUGCUCUGAAAGCCCGGGGCUCAACCCCGGGAGGCGGGUGGAUACUGCUGAGCUCGAGUCCGGAAGAGGCGAGUGGAAUUCCUGGUGUAGCGGUGAAAUGCGCAGAUAUCAGGAGGAACACCAAUGGCGAAGGCAGCUCGCUGGGACGGUACUGACGCUGAGACGCGAAAGCGUGGGGAGCGAACAGG